Molecule: long non-coding RNA, 17921 nt
Filed under: Nicotiana tabacum (common tobacco)
Lineage: Eukaryota; Viridiplantae; Streptophyta; Magnoliopsida; Solanales; Solanaceae
Description: long non-coding RNA (NTAB_LNC007515)
Source: RNAcentral
AAUAUAAAAUUCAAGGGACGAUGAUUCAGUUAUUUCAAAAUCCAAGCGCAAGAGUGUUAUUCAAGUGAAAAAGAAAAAUGGUUGCAGUUCUGUACAUACAUAUUUUGCAUGACAACUUAACCUCUGUUUUGAACCCAAAGUCUAAGAAGCAGGAUUAUCACCAUCACAGCUGCCAAAUGUAGAUACUCUAAUAGAAAUUAGUUCUUCAAAUAGCCUGACACAGCUGACUCAUGUUUGAAAGAAGCAAGAAAGGGAACAAAUGGUCUAUACAUUUUUAGCAAUAGGCAUGAACAAAACUGGCAAACUGACUUCAGCAAACAGCAAGACAUGCAUCUUUAGUCCAAAUUCCAGUAAAGUAACAGCUGCAAUGGUGCCAAUCUUGGCCAAAACUGAAGCAGAUCACUAGAAUUGUGAGCACAUAGAUAUCUAGUUCAACUAAUUGGAAUUUUAGUGUCCAGAUAGUCAUACAUUCCUAAUGUUAAGGCAUGAAUGAAAACUACGCGUAACUCGACUGAUUUGCGACUAGUACAUGAGCAAGCAUGAAAUUUCAGAUCAAUACAUGAUUCAUUCACCUGAUUCAACUAGUGAGAAAACACCAACUUGACAACUCAUGAAACAAUAAAAUCGAACAAAGUUAAACUUUGACUAAUUAGCAACAAGAUUUCAAACAUUUUUCCCAAACAAACCAUGAUCGAAUAGUGAUAGAAGGGUUGAUGAACACACACAGCUACAUGUUUAGAUGAAUUCCAAGACCAGAGGAUUAUAUGGAAAUUCAAUAGCACACAUGUGAAAUCAUGGAAGAUGCUGAAAUCAAGAAGAACAAAGCAACAAAAAUGACAAAUCUCAGCUAUUACUUUAAACUUCAACACGUUUUAUAGUUCAUUCAGAGAUCGAUUCACAACAAGAACUAAAGGGAAGAAAAGAAAUGAACGUGGAAUUAAGAGACUGAAUUAAUACAACACUGAAAUCGACCAAAAGGAAGCAAAUAGCAUCUGAAAAUCAACCCUCGAGCAACAACAACCUUGAACUUCUCAAAUGACUUCCAUUUUAAACCAAAAUCCAGAAUCGAAAUGAAGAAGACGGACUCUAGAGAUUUUAAAAAAAAAACUUUAAACAAUAAUCGACAUGAAAUGAAAUAGCCGAACACUCAGUGAUUUUUUUUUGUUGUUCUAGUAUCAGAUGCAAGGUAUUUUUGGCUUUUUCAUAAUUUUUUAAUAGAAAUGAAUAUGCACAGUAAAUGCAAAUAAUUAGCACAAAUUUCCACAAAAUCCUAUAAAAUUAUAAAAAAUGGAAAAAAUUGUUUUUCUUGUAUUUUAUGGGAAUAAUUCACAUAGGGCAAAAAUCACGUGCUCACAGCUGCCCCUCUUUGCUAGAAAACCCGAACAUUUUUUCGUGCAAAGAUAAAGUGAGCGGAUACGAGUGAUUUUUGCCCGUUUGAAUACUUCGUGGGAAGCAUUUUUGAAAGAUUUGACUACACCCUGCUUCCGAGGUUGCCAACAUAUCCUUGGCUAUAAAGGAAUCAAGUCAGUAUAGUUCGGAAUGUUUCGGUAGCUGGGACUACCAGGAAGCUGUGAUUUCACUAUUACUGAUGCUAUUACUGCUUGCUGAACUCCUUAUUACACCAAGACAAAAUAAAAGAAGCUAGACUAAAUUAUGAUCUAUGAAUUACAAGAAUUCUAUCUAUACUUCUUUAAACUUGAUCUUGCAAUUUCCGCUGCUCUGUUGACUUGUACUCUCCAGGUGAGAUUCCUUUGUUGCUCUCUUGAAUUUUAUUCUGAGGUGCAUUCCCUUUGUUUUUCAGGUGGGCACCUGAUUGCUGAACUUGAAUCGUCUUCCUUCGAACAUUGCUGCUUUCCCUUUGUUCUUCCAAGUGGGCUCCUAAUUACCAACACUUGAACUGCUUCCCUUCGUUCUCCAGGUGGGCUCCUGAUUACCAACACUUAAAUUGCUACUUCCCUUCGUUCUUCAGGUGGGCUCCUGAUUACCAACACUUGAAUUGCUACUCCCCUUCGUUCUCCAAGUGAGAUCCUGAUUACCAACACUUGAACUGUUUCCCUUCGUUCUCCAGAUGGGCUCCCGAAUACCAACACUUAAAUUGCUACUUCCCUUUGUUCUCCAGGCGAGCUCCUGAUUAUCAAUACUUGAAUUGCUACUUCCCUUCGUUCUUCAGGUGGGUCCUGAUUACCAACACUUGAAUUGCUUCCCUUCGUUCUCUAGGUAGGCUCCUUAUUACCAACACUUGAACUGCUUCCAUUCGUUCUUCAGGUGUGCGCCUGAUUACCAACACUUGAAUUGCUACUCCCCUUCGUUCUCCAGGAGGGCUCUUGAUUACCAACACAUGAACUGCUUCCCUUCAUUCUCCAGGUGGGCUCCUGAUUACCAACACUUAAAUUACUACUUCCCUUUAUUCUCUAGGCGGGCUCCUGAUUACCAACAUUUGAAUUGCUGUUUCCCUUUGUNNNNNNNNNNNNNNNNNNNNNNNNNGCUCCUGAUUAUCAACACUGGAACUGCUUCCCUUCGUUAUCCAGGAAGGCUCCUGAUUACCAACAUUUAAAUUGCUACUUCCCUUUGUUCUCCAGGCGGGCUCCUGAUUACCAACACUUGAAUUGCUGCUUCCAUUCGUUUUUCAGGUGGGAUCCUAAUUACCAACUCUUGAAUUGCUUCCCUUCGUUCUCCAGGUGGGCUUCUGAUUACCAACACAUGAACAGAUUCCCUUCGUUCUUCAGGUGGGCUCCUGAUUACCAACACUUCAAUUGCUGCUUCCCUUCGUUCUUCAGGUGGACUCCUGAUUGCUAAACUUGAACUACUUCCUCUUGUGACUGCAUUUCCUUUGAACUAUCUUUACUUGUUUCCCUAAAUGGGUCCUGAUUGCUUGACCCCAAACUGCUUUCUAUCCUUAAAACUCGUGUUGUUCUCCCUUGCUCUCCAGGUGGGUGCCUGAUUUCAACAAAAUAGACAAAACAAAGAAAAUUUUCUGCCCCAGUUUGGUAGCUGGGCACAUCUGUGAGUGUUAGUUGAAUAAUUUUACCAAAUGUCUGUAAGAAUUUGAAAGCUAGAUCCCAUUAUCCAGGAGGGUCCUGAAAACUCCUAGUUAAAUGACAGUUUUAAAGCUAAAUUAUAUCUUCUACAGGUAUGACUUCCGCUAAAUCUUGUUAUCUAAGAAGGUCUUAAAACUACAUCCCAUUAUCCAGGAGUGUCCUGAAAAUCAAAGUCAAGUCUUAUCUUAAGAGUGACAACUUUAAGGCUAAAGUAUACUUCCCUACAACAGAACUUACGCUAAAUCUUGUUAUCUAAUGGAAGUCUUAAAGCUAGGUCCCAUUAUUCAGGAGGGUCCUAAAAAUUUUGAAUUGAAUACUAUCCUAAGAACGAAAACUUCAAAGCCAGCUUAUAUUUAUUUGUGGUAAGACUUAUGCUAGAUCUUGUUACUCAUGCAUGUUUGAAUUUUAAACUAGAACCCAUUAUCCAGGCGGGUCCUGAGAAUUUAUGGUCAAACCUGUCUGGUACUUGCUUUCCCUUACGGAGGGUUUCUCUGAAACAAACGAAAUUUUCUGCCCCUGUUUCAAAUCAAAGAAAAAAUGUGUCAGUUUUAAAAGUGUUGUGGUUAGUUUGUGGCAUUCUUGCUGAAAGUGGUCUCUCCGCUACUGUGCUUUGCUUUGACUGGAUGCCUUGAACUGGCCGAUAAUUGUUUGACUUUCUGAGUGAUCCUCAACCGCAGGACCUUGGAUAACCCGAGUGCUCUAUACCCAAACCGUUGUUUUACAUUUCUGACUCUUCUAUCUGAACCUCUGCAUCUCCCAUGAAAUUGUUAAACCAUUCCACCGAUGGAACUUUUACUGACACUUGGUGUCCCACUUUACAUCAUACUAUCUCUGGAAUGCUUUGGCCAUACUGUGCUUUGUGCAAUUUUGGAAGUUGGUAGUAAGCUUUGAAAUCCUUUCUUAUUUGCUUAAACAAACCGGCAUUGGAAACAUCUUAGAGAAAUAAACCCAAAAGAAAUGAAAUGCAAUGACUUUGAGAAUUAGGAAUAAGGAAGAGAAAUCCAAAACUGGAUGACUGUUUGAAGGAGAAAAAGAAAAGAGACUGAUCUGAGUGGAGCAUCUGGUACCAAUAAUCAUGACAUGCAUUGCGGAUUAAUCAGCCCAGUCUAUCCAACCAAUCAACUUUCAGUUGUCAUAUUUUAUGCCCCGAGAUCUCCAAAACCCAAUUCUUUCGCCAAGUCACAGACCUUGUUUGGNNNNNNNNNNNNNNNNNNNNNNNNNNNNNNNNNNNNNNNNNNNNNNNNNNNNNNNNNNNNNNNNNNNNNNNNNNNNNNNNNNNNNNNNNNNNNNNNNNNNNNNNNNNNNNNNNNNNNNNNNNNNNNNNNNNNNNNNNNNNNNNNNNNNNNNNNNNNNNNNNNNNNNNNNNNNNNNNNNNNNNNNNNNNNNCUCAGCUUUCCAUCGCCUUACGAUGCCCGUGAGGGUUUUCACCAAUAAGACUCUCUCAUUUUUUUCCUUUUUCCUACUUAGACCAGAGUGUUUCCCCUGAUAUGAAUCACCUCCACUUGCUUGACUUGGCAUCUCUCGAAGACUGAUCGGAAGGUCUUCCUUUGGACCGUACUGUAGGCUUUUGGAUAGGGAUGGAAAGAAAGGGUAUCACGAAGGCUCAAAACAACUUGAAUGGGUUCAAACUUACAACUUUUGGAAUAUGAUCUACUACAUAACCAUAACUUCUGCCCCAGUUUCUUUGCCUUUACUUAUCUUUUGCGAUCGCGUUUCUGAACUUUGCUACUGAUUCCAAAGAGGGGUAUGAAAAGAAAUAGAUAAGGCUCAAAGGGGUAACAAAGGAUAAAGUGUUUAGAUAGCAGAACAAAAUGCAUUCGUCAUUCCAAUCUUCAAAACAUGCCAAGUACAAACAAACAUAAUUUAAACCAAAGAGAUCAUACAUAAUAUCUUUCGACUGCAUCAGAAUUGAUAGCCAUAUCUACGCAUUUGCCUUCUAUAUCUGUUAAAUACAAAGCACCAUUAGACAACACUCUCGUUAUGAUGAAUGGCCCCUGCCAAUUUGGGUCGAACUUUCCUUUUGCUUCAGCCUGAUGUGGAAGGAUGCGUUUCAAUACUUGCUGACCCACUUCAAAUUUCUGGGGACGCACCUUCUUGUUGUAUGCUCUUGCCAUUCUCUUUUGAUACAACUGGCCAUGGCAUACUGCUGCAAAUCUUUUCUCAUCAAUCAAACUCAAUUGCUCCAGACGGGUUUUGACCUAUUCAUCAUUAUCAAUUUCGGCUUCAGCAAUGAUCCGAAGGGAUGGAAUUUCAACCUCUACGAGUAUCACUACUUCUGUGCCAUAUACCAACAAAUAAGGAGUUUCCCCUACUGACAAAUGAUAUUUGAAUGGACAAAUGAUAUUUGAAUGGACAAAAUCGACCACUGCUUUCUUGGUCACAGACUUGAAAGUUUUAGCUUCAACCCACUUAUUGAAAUAAUCAAUGGCCACCAGAAUAAACCUGUGCUCAUUGGAUGCUGCUGUCUCAAUUGGUCCAAUGACAUCCAUGCCCCAAGCAAUGAAGGGCCAUGGUGUAGACAUUGUGUGCAAUUCAGAUGGCAGAGAAUGAAUCAAAUCUCCGUGUACUUGGCAUUGAUGACACUUGCGCACAAAACUAAUACAAUCUCGCUCUAUGGUGAGCCAGUAAUAAACCGCUCGAAGAAUUUUCUUUGCCAGAACAUACCCACUUAUAUGCGGUCUGCAGACUCCGGAAUGUACUUCGGUCAUGAUAGCCAUGGCCUGUCUAGCAUCUAUGCAUCUUAACAAUCUAAGAUCUGGAGUUCUUUUGUACAAAACUCUACCACUUAAGAAAAAUCCACUUGCCAAAUGACGAAUUGUUCUUUUUUGAUCACCUAUGGUCUGUACUGGAUACACCCCUAUCCUGAUAUACUCCCUGAUGUCGUGGCACCACGGCUUACCAUCAAGUUCUUCUUCCACUAUGUUACAGUAAGGGUGCUGAUCGCAGACUUGAAUAUGUAGAGGGUCGACAUAAGCUUUGUCCGGAUGAUUUAACAUUGAUGCCAGAGUAGCCAAAGUAUCGACAACCUCAUUAUGGAUCCUUGGAAUAUGCCUAAACUUUACCGAUCGAAAAUGUUGACAAAGAUCAUGCAAACAUUGUCGGUACGAUAUGAGCUUUAAAUCCCGUGUUUCCCAUUCUCCUUGAAUCUAGUGCACCAGAAGGUCCGAGUCUCCCAAGACCAAGACUUCCUGGACACCCAUGUCCACAGCUAACCUUAAACCCAAAAUGCAUGCCUCGUACUCAGCCAUGUUAUUGGUACAGUAGAAACGAAGCUCAGCCGUAAUAGGGUAGUGAUGCCCUGUUUCAGAAAUAAGUACAACUCCUAUCCUAACGCCUUUCAUGUUAGUAGCCCCAUCAAAGAAAAGCUUCCAACUUGUUCCAACUUGUUAAUGUGCAUUACCUCUUCAUCAGGAAAAUAAGUUCUCAAUGGUUCAUACUCUUUAUCGACCGGGUUCUCAGCCAAAUGAUCGGCCAAUGCUAGUGCUUUUAUCGCAGUCCGAGUCACAUAGAUAAUGUCAAACUCCGUGAGCAAAACCUGCCACUUCGCAAGUCUCCCUCUAGUCAUAGGCUUCUGAAAGAUAUACUUUAACGGAUCCAAGUGAGAAAUGAGGUAAGUAGUGUAAGAUGACAAAUAAUGCUUCAACUUCUGUGCUACCCAAGUUAGGGCGCAACAUGUCCUUUCAAGAUGAGUGUACCUAACCUCAUAAGAUGUGAACUUCUUGCUGAGAUAAUAGAUGACUUGCUCCUUCCUGCUGGUGAUGUCAUGCUGACCCAACACACAACCAAAAGAAUUAUCCAGGACUGUCAAAUACAGAAUCAAAGUUCUCCCUGGUUCUGGUGGGACCAAUACAGGUGGGUUUGACAAGUACCCCUCUAUCUUAUCGAAUGCUUCCUGACAUUCAUCAGUCCACUUGACCACAACAUCCUUCUUCAGCAACCUAAAGAUAGGCUCACAAGUUGUCGUGAGCUGAGCAAUAAACCUGCUGAUGUAGUUUAGCCACCCUAACAGACUCAUCACUUUGGACUUGUUCCUUGGUGGUAGUAAUUCCUUGAUAGCCUUGAUCUUUGAUGGGUCCAAUUCAAUACCUCAAAGGCUGACUAUGAAUCCCAGCAGUUUUCCCGAUGGAACACCCAAUGAGCACUUGGCGGGGUUAACCUUAAGAUUGUACCUGCGAAGCCUCUGGAAAAAUUUCCUCAAAUAUCUGACGUGGUCAGACUGCUUCCUGGACUUUAUGAUCACAUCAUCCACGUAGACCUCUAUCUCCUUGUGUAUCAUGUCAUGGAAUAUGGUUGUCAUUGCUCUCAUGUAAGUUGCCCCAACAUUUUUCAAACCAAAAGGAAUGACCCUAUAGCAAUAUGUCCCCCAUGGAGUAAUGAAUGCUGUCUUUUCCGCAUCUUCCUCAUCUAUUAAGAUUUGAUGAUAGCCCGCAUAGCAAUCCACAAAAGACCCAAUCUCAUGCUUGGCACAAUUAUCAAUCAAAAUGUGGAUAUUUGGCAGUGGGAAGUUGUCCAUUGGACUUGCCUUGUUGAGAUCACGGUAAUCAACACACACUCUGGUCUUACCAUCCUUCUUUGGCAUAGGUACAACAUUGGCUAACCAAGUGGGAUACCGCGUGACUCGAAUGACCUUUGCAUCAAACUGCUUUGUGACCUCUUCUUUAAUCUUCACACUCACGUCAGUUUUGAACUUUAUCAACUUCUGCUUGACAGGAGGGAAUGCUGGGUCAGUGGGCAAUUUGUUAACCACCAAGUCAGUGCUUAGACCCGGCAUGUCGUCAUAUAACCAUGCAAAAAUAUCUUUAUAUUCAAACAAUGCUUUAGUUAUCUCUCCCCUGAUUUGCGGUUCAAGAUGGAAACUUAUCUUAGUUUCUGUGACAUUAUCUGGGUCCCCUAAAUUGAUUGCUUCCAUAUCAUUUAGGUUAGGCUUGGAUUUUUCCUCAAAAUGACUUAGUUCUUUACUAAUCUCUUCAAAAGCCUCAUCCUCAUCAUAUUCUGGUUCAUCAUUGCACUCUAUUUCUUGAAUUAUUAUUUCAGAAUUAGAUUGACUUUUAAGACUGGGUCAAAGAUUCCUCAUGCAUGUCAUGUCAUUGAAACUAGCAUAAAAAGAACUAUACAGGGAAGAAAAGAAAAACAAAAAUAAAACAAUCAGAAAUGAUUAAAAAAGGAAAUUGCAUUUCAUUGAAAAUAAAAGAAAACAAGGUUUGUACAUCCAAACAGACGAAAAAUAGAAUCUGAAUUACAACCCUGGAAUAAUCCAGAUAAACUGAAAGAAAAUCAAAGCAAACUACCAAAACUCCUUCCGGGUAGGGAGAGGAGUAACCUCCAAUUGUUAAGCUUUGCAUUCGGCCCGACAAAUUACACAUCUGCUUUGCUAGAACCUUCUCCAACUUCCACCAUGUUCACAUCGUCGAACAACCUCUGGAACCUUUCAAUUAACUCUUCAUUAAUGUCAACCACAGAAUUUGGAACUGUUGUCACUGGGCGUUUCCUGGCACCAGGCUUGACAAAUGACCUGGAGAGAUGCGAGAUAGGCUUUGGAAGUGCCCACGCCCUCUGUUUCAACUUUCUGGCCCUUUUCACAUCAGCGGCUGUGGGUUUGAAUCCCAGACCAAACAUACCCAAGUUCUUAAGGAAGGACACUGGCUGUAUGAUACCCUACAGAGAUGCGCUCAGACUCUUUCAUCAUGACAGUCUGCGAAGGCUUCUUGUGCUCCCCUCCCUUAUGUACUAUCUCGAUCAUGUUCGUUUCUUGAUGGGUUGGCAACGGGUUCCGGUUGAUGUUAGGUGCCUCUAGGGUUUGGAAUUCAAUCCGGUUUGUGUCAAUAAGCUCCUAGAUAGCAUUUUUCAGGUGCCAGCACUUCUCCGUAUCAUGCCCCGGAGUACCAGAACCAUAUUCAUAGCUUACAGAGUAAUCAAGAUUCUUUGGAGGAGGGUUUGGCAAUUUCGACUCAAUAGACCUCAGCAUAUCCAAUUGUCUCAGUUUGUGGAACAAACUAGUAUAGGACUCCCCCAAUGGGGUGAAGGUUUUCUUCCGCUACAACCUCUCAUUUUUAAAUGCUUGAUUGGGCUGGAAACCUGGGCCGAUAGGGUUUCGGUAGGCUCGUGGGGGUGGAUAAGCAUUUUGUGGAUCUGGGUAGGUGUUUUGUGGGGCUGGCACAUGCCAUUGUGCGUAGGUAGGAGGUUGAGUGUAUGUUUGGGCGUGGUGGACAGAAAAAUGAGGGUCUGGUGAUGGAAAGUAAUGCUGAGGUGGAUUAUACGGGGUUUGAGUGUAGGUUUGGUGGUGGGGUCGAGGCUGAGUAUAAUGGUGUGAUGGGCCCCUAGGUCCAAACCAUGAUCCUGAAUCAAUUGUUGCUACAUCUUCUUUCUUCUUCUUUCCGAUUACUCCCCCAGUAUCAUUCUGAAUAGCUUGGGUAGUUGCCUUAAUAGCCGAGUAACUUAGGAUUUUGUUUGACUUAAGCUCUUCUUCUACUAUGCCACCCAUCUUCACUACCUCAUUGAAGGACUUGCCUAUGGACGAUACCAGAUGGACGUAGUAAGUGGGCUCCAGGGCCUGCAGAAAGUAAUCCACCAUUUCGCUCUCUUUCAUCGGAGGGUCAACCCUUGCCGCUUGUUCUCUCCAAUGGAAACCAUACUCCCUGAAACUAUCACUAGGCUUCUUCUCAGUCUUAGUCCGAGAUAAAUGAUAUGGAACAAUCUCGAGGUUGUAUUGGAAAUGACAAGCAAAUGCUUGGGCCAAAUCAUCCUAUGUAUACCAUCUGCUGUGAUCCUGACGAGUGUGCCACUCCAAUGCAGCGCCGCUCAGAGUCAGGCUAAAGUAUGCCAUCAACAACUCUUCUUUCCCACUGGCUCCUCUCAUUUUACUGCAAAAUCCCCUCAAAUGGGCCACCGGGUCUCCUUUCCCGUCAUAUAGAUAGAAUUUGGGCAUCUUGAAUCCUACUGGCAGUUGAACAUCGGAAAAUAGACACAGAUCUUUGUAGGCCACGCUCACUUGGCCUCCCGAUCCCUGCAUGUUUCUGAAUGACUGUUCCAGGCUUUUAACCAUCCUGAACAUCUCCUCCUGUUCUGGAUUCUUAGGUGGUUUCUCAGUCUCAACAGGGAGGUCGAAACGAGGAGUAUAAGAGUAAGGUUCCGGGGCAUUGAAAGUAGGCUCCAGGGGAUAGUAUUGGUUAUCUUGGGUCUGGAAUAAAGGCUCACUAGAAGAUCGGUGGAGUGUAAUGGGUGGGGUGCCACGAAAAUAGGGGUGUCUAGUGGAGGAGGGUAUGAAACUGGUUUGGGUGAUGGAGCUGGUGGUGUUUGGGAAGUGGUGCCUUGGUAGUGGUGGUAAAUAGGAAAGCCUGGAGAUGAAUCAGUAGUUGGAGGUUCCUGGGAUUGAUCCAACGGUGGUACGAAAGCAGGGUUGGCAAGGUAGGAUGGUGGUGGAUGCCCUUUUACCCAUGCCUGGUACAUCUCUACCAUAUGUUGUUUCAGCUUAUACAAUUCCUCUUUCAGAUUAACAUCAGACUCUUCCCCCUCUCUUGACGGAUCAAUAACACUUGCAUCCAGUUCUUGUUUAUCCAUGAUCAACUUGUUUUUGGACAUAGUGUUAUACGGGUGAGUUGUCAGAAUGCCAAACAAACUAACCACCUACCUGUACUGAUUUCAACAACAAACUUGUUAGCGAUUAGAGCUUAACAGAUAGGCAACCGCACGUUGGGGAUGCAAUGCACCUAAGCAGUUAACCAUUUCUAUUAUGCAUUUGAUCGGUUGCUUGCAUCAUCCUGGCUUUUCCUAAUGUCCAUUUUGCAAUUUCUCACUUUUUCACUCCUGCCUUUCUUUGCUUGAUUUCUCGUUGUUCUUUAUUCUCUCAUUUUUCUCUCUUGUUUUGCCAUUGUUUCAUUCCCACAGUUUCUUGUUUUCUCUCCCUCUCCUUUUUUCUUUUUCUUCUUUUUUUUGGUUAUGAUCGAAUCCUAUGGGGAUUGCCUACGUAUCAUGAUGCCGCAUGAAUCAGACCAAGCGUAGUUUUGGGCGAUAAGUGUAAAAAUAAAUAAUAAAAAUAUAUUUUGGGAUUUUCAAAUUUUCCAUAAAAUAAAAGCGUGUUGAUUAUAGCGACUCAUCCUACCGAAUUUAAUCAUAAAAACUAACAGACUCGAAAAAGAGGACUAACAAAAUCCAACAGAAAGAUGAAAAUACAGACUCAAAAACAAACUAAGAAACUCCAACAAAGAAAGUGAAACAUACAGACUCGAACAAAAAUCAUGAAUACAUCAAUGCCUCGACUGCUCCGGGGGCCCGCGGGACAUCAGUCGGUCUCGCCACAGGCCUAUGCGCCAGAUCCCCUUGGAGACGAUAGAUAUCCUCUAUUAUCUGGCGGACAAAGAUCAUUACAGUGGCGAAGAAGAUAGAUCUGGUCAUGUCCUCACACUUACUGCACUUCAUCGUGAUGUAGUCCGCGAUCCUUCUGACCCUUUCCCUUAUGAUGCCAUUUUCUUGCAACAAAUGUCCAAUCUGCUGGGAUCUAGCCUCUAAGAUCUGGGUGGCAGUAUGAUUCUGCUCUUGCAAGUGCUGUAGGUCUCCCUCUAAUUGUGCCAUCAAAGCGUAGCACUGUUCUCUCUCGGCUUUGAAAUCUUUUGCCUGUUUGGUCAUUUCAUUUUCAAGGAUGGUGAUCUUUUUCUUCAACCCCACGAUUCCAUUGUCAUAUUUCUCUUUUAAUUGUUUGACCUAGCGUGCUCGUUCCUCUGCAUUUUUGGCCAAUUUUGUUCGAGCUCUUGCCAGUUCACCUUCGGCUUUGUUCAGAUCAAAACCAUAUUCACCUACUUUCUGCCUAAGGUAACCUAUAAGCUUUUCAUCUUUUGUACUUCUAGCGGGGUUUUCGGCUGCUAUUUUCAUUUCCUGAAUAUGGGUUCGGAGGGCGUCAUUCUCUUUGGCUAGCUUUUUCUUUUCGCCCUCAUCCGCGGCGGCUUGCAAACCAUUCUCAAACUGAAGAUCCCUGACUUGUUUUUCCAAUUUGCCUAUUGUGGCCCUGUACUCAUUCUCCUUGGCCAACCAAGCCCACUGUUCUUUCGACGCCUCAACAAAUUCGUGGAUGUGAGGCUUCUUGGUUGGUCUUUCAUGUUCGGCCAUUGCGGUGUUCUUCUUCCUAUACCAGGCAAGAUAGGCGGGUGAGACCUCGCCUCUAGAUAGGUCACGCACUCGAGUGUUUGCUGUCAAAUACUGGCACUCGUUCCAAAUAUGAUGAACUAUUUGUUCAUGAAAUUGGCCAUCAGAGCUGACUUCGACCGCAUAAACACUAAGAUCUUCAUCUGGGUGCAUAACCUGGCAUCUUCCCAACUGUCUCAUUACCCAGUGGAGCAUAAGGCUGAAUGCCUCGAAGACCCAUUAGGAGGAGGUAAGGACCGGUGGCAGGCAUAUACACAAUUUCUUCAACUGGAAGCCAACCUAGUGUCCACUCUAUUUGCCCGGCAGUGAUGGAGUCUCCAAAUCCUUCUGGCAGCUUGAACCCUGAAAUCCUUGUGUCGAACUCUUCAAUGCAGUUUUUCUCCGUGGACCCAUAACUCAUAUACUGUGGGCAGUGACACAGAUGCUCGAUCAUCCAUAUUUGUAAUAGCAAUUGCAUCCCUCAAAGAAGUCUUCCCCAGCUUUACAAGCUGCGAGAGCUUGGUAUAUCUCAGACACUAUCAUAGGAGCGAGGGUGCUCUUGGAAUUGGUAAUCAAGACAUUGACAACUCCAGCCACCCGCAGAUCGAUAUUCCCAUCCUUCCGGGGAAACACCAUGAGGCCUAAGAAAUCUACCAUGAAAGCGAAACGCCUAUGCUCAUCCCAUUUUGCUCGGUUCCCAUUGCUACAAACCCCACUCUCCGGGUUGUCAAAUCCUCCUACAUGGCCAUACCUCUGGUAUAUGAAGCGUAGAGUGGAAAAACCGAUCGUCAAAUCUGCAUAUUGGACCCCCUGCUUAUUUUUAGAAAAUCCAGGAACUUCUGAGAGGUAACAAUUCUUGGAGCGACCAAAUACUUAUGCCUUAGACCUUCAGUACUUCCCAUAUAACCUGCUAUCUCUUCCAAGGUGGGUGUGAGUUCAAAAUCUGAGAAGUGUAGGACGUUGUGAGCUGGGUCCAAAAAUGUUACUAGUGCCCUUAUUAUGUCUCCUCUAGGCCUGAGCUUCAUCAAUCCGGUGAGCCCUCCCAAAUAAAGGUUGACCACAUCUCGUCCUUCUUCACCCAAAUCUUCCCAAAACAUGAGUAGAUACAACGGAAUCUUCGACAUGACCUUCAUUAGUUAAUUUUGACUAGUGCUCAUUCUGUACAUAUAGUUUAGGGUGAUUGGUUUACACGCAAAGUGAAGCUCAUUUGAAAAACUGAUAAAAGGGGCUAUUUUGCAAAAAUCAAGAAGUCAGGGCUACUUUUGUGAAUACUGCCCUUCAAUACUUUGAAAUGGAAGUUUUUAGGGCUGUGCUCGCUAAGUGGCCAAAAUUCGACAAAACACAGUCAACGGCUAUUCUUGCAAAAACAGCCCUCCGGCAUCCCGUUGGGACAUUCGGCUAGUUAGACAAGAAUGACAUUAACCACUUUAUUUACGACAAAAUGACGAUGCUUCAUAUAUUUUUCAAAAAGCGGGGUUGGACCCGAUAAGAGUUGCCUAUGUAUCCCACAUCCGGUGAGAAUCAAACCCGCGUAGUUCGGCUAGUUUUGACAUGAAAAGGAAAAAAACAAAAAAUCAUUUUGGACUAAUUCUUCUCUUUUCAAUAGACUUUGUUUUUUCAAGGAAUCCUUUUUCUUCUCUUUUUUUUCAAAAAUUCGACAGAGUUUCAGGACAUUUUGGUCAUCAUUUUUGGGAAACGAGUGAAAUCCUCUACCUCGGCUCGGUUUUUCUUUUGGUUUUCCUCACUCAAUGUAGAAGCCGGUCAACAUGAAAUUUGAAACAAAUUAAAUGCACAAGUAGCCCCUAAAAUGCAUCAGGUUGGUCUUUUAUUUUCGGUUACACCUGUCCUAGACGGACCCAACCCUUGUGUUGAUUCCCCAAAGUCAAAUGCACAUGAUAAAAAUAAGCGUUCCUACAAGGGAUACGGCAUGAGGCUGAGUUAUUCUAAGUUUAAAACCUGGGUGUAUUGUUCUAGACCCGGCUUACCCGAGUGGACAACUCGAGCCGAGGGGGCAGCCUACCGGUAACCAAAACAUUAUCCGGCUUUGCAACUUGUCCGAUCCUCAUUCUAAAUUGGGAUAUGACACUAACAGAAAGAAGUCACGCCAGCGUGCACUCCUCAGAAGAUAGAAGAGAGGGGUUUCGUAGCAGUUUAUAUAUACAGUUAAGAUAAUAUCAAAGAAGUAAAAAGCAACAUUUAACACAUUAGGCCCAAACAUGUAGAUAAAAUCAGACAAUAAAUAAAGCCGAAUAUAACAAUUAUUCUAAGCUCGAAUUCUUGAACCCUGCUCUGCAAAACCAGAGAUUCUGGGUUCGAUCCCCAGCAGAGUCGCCAGAGCUGUCACACCUCCUUUUUCCUAUAGCCGAAAGGGGUAUAUGGGAGUUUUUUCCAAUUAAAGUGACAAUCGAAACGAGAUUAUUAUUUAUUCAGAGUUGCCACUUGGGAUGAUUUAUGGUGUCCCAAGUCACCGGUUUCAAAUCCCGAAUCGGGGAAGAUUGGCUCUGUUUUCAAUCCGCAAACACAGAAAUCCGAGUAAGGAAUUCUGUUAACCCGAGAGAAGGUGUUAAGCAUUCCCGGGUUCCGUAGUUUUAGCACGGUCGCUCAACUGUUAUUAUUGACCUAUUUAUUUGAUUUUAAAAUAUUUUUGAAAUCCCAUGUGCAUUUUAUUCCUUUUAAAACCGUUUUAAUAAUCCAAUUGUUAUACAAUUAAUUGUUUGAUUACACAUUGCGAAUCAUAUCACGGGAACUGUAACUAUGAUCCACAACGUGUUUAUUUUAUUAACAAGAUUAAAUUAUGGCCAGGUCACAUGAAUGUACCCCCAAAUUUUUAGAAAUUAAAUGUCACGACUACGUCACAGGAACCGUACUCAUAGUUGUGAUGUUUUAUUAUGACACACCUAGAGCAAGUUAAAAUGUUCAAAGACUAAUUACUAAUCUAAGCUCAGUUGAAACUCCGCGAGGUCAAAUAAAUCAACUAAAAAACUCACAUCAUCAACCCUUUUUAGCUCAUGGUGCCCAACUCAAAUCUAAUCAUCCAAGCACAAUCCCUGAAUACUCAUCAAAACGUAAAAUAAUAAGAUAGGAUUUAAACUUAAAGUGAUAGGGACAUCAUCAGCAAAGAAAAUAAUUUGAUGAAGGAAAAGAAAAUAAACUAACUCUUAUCUCACUAUACUGGACAAACUUUUAAUGCCAUACUCUUCUGACUUAUUUUCUUCAUAUAUUCAAUAGAGUGUUUCAUUGUCAUGGAGUAAAAAUUGAAUACAAAAUCAAGCAACUACUAUGAAAGAACCUGGCUAAUAAAACACUCCAAUGCAACAAUAUAAGAAAUUCUAGAAAAUUUGAUUUACUCCACAUAACCUCAAAAAAUUAAACGCUGCGGCAGAGAAACGAGCCUGCACAAAGCUAUUUGAAGCAUAAAAAACCAAUUGCAACAGUUUGACACAUUCUCAAUUUGAUACCCUAAAAAUGGAUUUUAAACCAACAACUAUAACUAAAGCAAGACUUGGAUUUCCAUUGAUUUAACAGGACUUAAAAUUAGCAUAAAUAUUCAUCCCCAGAUCGACCAAGCUGUCUUUAGCCCCCAGAAUACCCAAAUGCGACCACUCCCCUAGUUAAGCAAACUGAGAAAUCAAUUGCCAAAGAGGGCUGAGGAAAUGUUCAUUGAUAUACUAUUGCUUCAUUGCCAAAUAAAGCUAGCUGAGUAAAAUAGGCACUCAUAUCAAAGUACUACUGCCAAUGGGACAAUGAGAAACUGAGAAGAGAAGACUACAAGAUAUUUAACCUCUUAAGAACUGUUAACUCUAGAAGUGAAACUCAAAUCGAUGGGGAAACUAUGAAUAAAACUUAAUUAUAAAUCAAGGACUUAAGCUAGCAGCAGUCCAGGAAUCGUUAAAAGCCCAGUUCAUGUCCUAGUAUUGGUGAAUAUGCAAAAGAAAGCUAUGAAACUCAAGGGACGAUGAUUCAGUUAUUUCAAAAUCCAAGCACAAGAGUGUUAUUCAAGUGAAAAAGAAAAAUGGAUGCAAUUCUGUACAUACGUGUUUCGCAUGACAACAUAACCUCUGUUUUGAAACCAAAAUCUAAGAAGCAGGAUUAUCACCAUCACAGCUGCCAAAUGCAGAUACUCUAACAGAAAAUAGCGCUUCAAAUAUCCCGGCACAGCUAACUCAUGUUUGAAAGAAGCAAGAAAGGGAACAAAUGGUCUAUACAUUUUUAGCAAUAAGCAUGAACAAAACUGGCAAACUGACUUCAGCAAAAGCUAGACAUGCAUCUUUAGUCCUAAUUCCAGUAAAGUAACAGCUGCAAUGGUGCCAAUCUUGGCCAAAAGUGAAGCAGACCACUAGAAUUGUGAGCACUUAGAUAGCUAGUUCAACUGAUUGGAAUUUUAGUGUCCAGAUAGUCAUACAUUCCUAACGUUAAGGAAUGAAUGAAAACUACGCGUAACUCGACUGAUUUGCAACUAGUACAUGAGCAAGCAUGAAAUUUUAGAUCAAUACAUGAUUCAUUCUCGUGAUUCAACUAGCAAGAACACACCAACUUGACAACUCAUGAUACAAUAAAACCGAACAAAGUUAAACUUCGACUAAUUAGCAACCAGAUUUUAAACAUUUUUCCCAAAUAAAUCAUGAUCGAAUAGUGAUAGAAGGGCAGAUGAGCACACACAGCUACAUGUUUAGAUGACUUCCAAGACCAGAGGAUUAUAUGGACAUUCAAUAGCACACUUGUGAAAUCAUGGAAGAAGUUGAAAACAAGAAGAACAUAGCAGCAAAAAUGACAAAUCUCAGCUAUUACUUUAAACUUCAACACAUUUUGUAGUUCAUUCAAAGAUCGAUUCACAACGAGAACUAAAGGGAAGAAAAGAAAUGAACCUGGAAUUAAGAGACUGAAUUAAUACAACACUGAAAUCGACCAAAAGGAAGCAAAUAGCAGCUGAAAAUCAACCCUCGAGCAGCAACCGCCUUGAACUUCUCAAAUGACUUUCAUUUUUAAACCAAAAUCCAGAAUCGAAAUGAAGAAGACAGACUCUAGAGAUUUAAAAAAAACUUUAAAAAAUAAUCGACAUGAAAUGAAAUAGCCGAACAUUCAGUGAUUUUCUUUUGUUGUUCCAGUAUCAGUAAUAAAAGAACAAUAAAAGCUGAAGAAGAAAAAUCUCUCAAAUUCUUUUCCAAAAUCCUCUCCAAAAAUCCCUGUGAAUCCUCUUCUCCUUACAAAAUUGGAUCCGGUCCCUUUUGACAAUGAGCCCUUGAUGAAUGUGGGGCUCAGAUUGAGUGAAAUUAAUCCAACGCCUCACACUCAUCCAACGAUCGUUCUCCAGAACCUUCCAAUCGCGUGCUAUAGUUCAAAAUCGGGCGAGUGAGAGGAAGCAGAAUCUUUGGUGUCAGAAACCGUUAGAAAUGGCAAGAGGAGAGAAGGAGGGAACGCGUGGUUGGAUAUUGGGGCUCACUUGCCAUGGAUUUGGACUGAAUUGGGUCUUGGUUUGAGUGAGAGAGACGAUUGAAUAGUAACCGCGUCGCUUCUCUGAGUUCUGGGAUUUAGGGCUCGUUGUAUUGUCUGAGUAUAUUUUGGGUGAGUGGGGUGGGUCAGGGGAAUGGGUCGGGCAGCAGGUGAGGGCAUUUGUGCUGGGGAAGGAACUAGGUUAAUUCCAGCCCAAUGAACGAAUCUCCUUCCCCAAAUUCAUUUUCCUUUUCUUUUCUUUUUUUCUCUUUUUCUUUUUCUUUAAUUAAAAAAAUCCUAAAAUUAACUCCUAAAUUAUUCUAAGUUGUCGAAUUAAAC